CUGCUGCACACAACCUAGCCCUCCUUGAGUACACGCAAUGUGAGGGAGCGCGAUAAAUGGUCAACCAACGCAGCAGCCAAGAGCUCUACAUGUUGACUAAAUGAGCAGAGAAGACAGCCAUGGCACAAGCACCUCGACCUAGACGAUGCGUAGGAAUCACAUGGGAUCACGGGGCUCAAGAACAGGCAAAUGGAACUCUUCGGCAUUGAUGGGAUUCACUGUCGAAGUACCAUGGCAAACAUCCAAAUUACAAGGCAUGAAAUUGUUGGUCCUGUCUGGUACAAACAAAACAAGCAUCUCAAGUCUAUUAUGAGUUUGCACUAUUAGCAACCCCACAGUUGGCAGUGACACAAAGGAUGUCUGUAUCAGCUCUUUGUCACUAUUUAUUUCAUCGAGCAAAUGAGGCAAAUUGUUUUGCAAGAACACUCAAGUUGGAGCAGUAGGCCAGUGCAAGAUUGUGAUCAGCUGGAGGACCACUCAACAAUUAAUGAUUCCAAAAUGGUCAUCGCAAUCAGACUUGGAUGCAUCCCACAAAGAUCAAAAGAACAAAAAGGAUAAAGAUUUCGUCCUGCCAUCACAGAAGAUUUUGUCUUUGAUCGUCUUGACCUGUGAGACCAAUUGCAUCCUUCUUUCGAUCCUCGCAAUGUUUCGGUCAGUCAGCUUUUGCAAACUUGUAGUAGGACUGGCUCUUCACGGAACUCAUCCAUUUCACUUGUUCUGUGCCAAAGCUAGACAGGGGAGUUGCAGUAUGCAUGCUGCAAAAUUACACCUCUCUGUCAGCAGCAUCAGUCCAAGGGCCAAGAACUGAUUGAUCUCUUUUGUAGCUCUCGCUCUGCACAGGACGUCUCCUUUCGAGGGUCAAAAUGACAGAAGGCCAGAUCAAGUACACAGAGAUGGAGAUGCAAUCCAAAGAUAAGACAUCAAUGCAGCUUUGACUGGGAGAAGUGCCUGUGACUUCAAAGAACAAGAUGACUCGAAGACCGAGUUAGAUUACCACAUCCUGAGAUUGCAGUCAAAGAACUUGAUGCUUCUAGUUUGGCAAUAACCUUGUCAUCUAC
This is a non-coding RNA of Musa acuminata subsp. malaccensis (wild Malaysian banana), 1058 nucleotides long. Lineage: Eukaryota; Viridiplantae; Streptophyta; Magnoliopsida; Zingiberales; Musaceae. The record is from RefSeq and is a predicted model, not a curated record.